This 459-nucleotide ribosomal RNA is filed under the name uncultured bacterium. Its description in RNAcentral is "partial 16S ribosomal RNA". It matches the Rfam family "Bacterial small subunit ribosomal RNA", at positions 338 to 795 of the family's 1533-position model. The record is from RNAcentral.
CCUACGGGUGGCAGCAGUGAGGAAUAUUGGUCAAUGGGCGGGAGCCUGAACCAGCCAAGUCGCGUGAGGGACGACGGUCUUAUGGAUUGUAAACCUCUUUUGUCGGGGAACAAAGGCGUCCACGGGUGGGCGGAUGAGUGUACCCGAAUAAAAAGCAUCGGCUAACUCCGUGCCAGCAGCCGCGGUAAUACGGAGGAUGCGAGGGUGAUCCGGAUUUAUUGGGGGUAAAGGGUGCGUAGGCGGAGCGUUAAGUCAGUGGUAAAAUUGAGGGGCUCAACCCCUUCCCGCCAUUGAAACUGGCGAGCUUGAGUGGGAGAGAAGUAUGUGGAAUGCGUGGUGUAGCGGUGAAAUGCAUAGAUAUCACGAAGAACACCGAUGGCGAAGGCAGCAUGCCGGCUUCCUACUGACGCUGAGGCACGAAAGCGUGGGGAUCGAACAGGAUUAGAUACCCUUGUAGUC